This is a long non-coding RNA of Macaca mulatta (Rhesus monkey), 2236 nucleotides long. RefSeq lists it as uncharacterized. NCBI's taxonomy places the organism in Eukaryota, Metazoa, Chordata, Mammalia, Primates, Cercopithecidae. The record is from RefSeq and is a predicted model, not a curated record.
ACAGGGUUUUACCACGUUGCCCAUACUGGUCUCAAACUCUUGACCUCAGGUGAUCCGCCCACCUCAGCCUCCCAAAGUGCUGGGAUUGCAGGUGUGAACCACCGCGCCCGGCCAGGUCACCCUCUUUUAAGAUCUAACAUCUCAGACGGGAAAAAUACUUUGUACGAAAGAAGGCAGGCUUAUGUUCAUAUGUUGCUUUGCCUUGAAGCCUGAAGGGGAUGAAUGGGGACAAGCAAGACAGAAGCACAUGGCAUGCAGAUGCUGGGAAAAUGCUUUGCAGGGGCGUGAGGCGUGCUCACUGGCCUGUGAUCAGGACUGAGAGCUGUCACAGCAGCCCACUGUGCCUUCUAAUUGCUGAACUUAUUUGGGGAAGCCUGUUGAUUUGAGUGUAGAACGGGCAGUCCAUUUUUUCUUGAUGCCUUGGAAAGAACAGGCCCCAAGUUAAAUGUAGGAGACAGACUUGCAGGAGGAAAUAACUAUUUUUACUUUUCCUCUUUGUGGUCUCUGAAAUAGCAGCUGUUCCUCUUUCCAUUGAGGAACAUUGGGAGUAUUUCUCAUUUAUAUAUCUCAUUGAUUUCCCUCAAUCAUGAUGCUAGUAAGAGAAAGUAUUGCUAUUUCAAUGACAUUAGAAUCCCAUGUGGUUUUAAAAACAAAUGCUUUAAGUGAUGAAAUGAAUAUGUGUGUCCUAUUUUGAAGGGAUUUUUGAAAGGAUGGCCUGCAUCUCGGUAAUAUAUAUGAUUUCUGCAUCCUAAAAGACUAUGUCUUCAAACCUAUUUGUGCUUUCAUUUAGGUGUUUACUGAUUGGGUCAUGUUGGACCCUGUGAGGAGACAGGCAUUUUUCUGGAUACUGGCAAUAAACGUGCAGUCCUGAUCUAAAAUAUAGCCUAGCAAGAGAAGUACAUGUUUACGCAGAUAAUUCUAAUAUAGUAUGCUGCAUUGAAACAGUCAAGUAUUUGAACUAUGGGCAAGCAGUUCUGUCAUGUCCCCUUCUGUGCUUGUCUAUUUUAAGACUACUAAGUUCAGAUUCCUAACCUUUGUGUUUAAAAACCACAUGGCUCUGGGAGGCUGUUUGCAUGUCAUUCCCCUGGGUUAUCCCUUUGUUCCAUUCUUGCUACAAGCAUAUUUGUGUAGAGUAACUCAACCGUUGAAAGCAAGAUGUGCACUCUUAGGCAGAUAACAAUCAACGUUUAAAAUAACAUCACUUCUUCUAUAGAUUUCUCCAGGCACACAAAGCAUGGUGACUACUCAGAUUAAUUGGAGGAGAAAGAAUACUGGAGAGACGAGGCCCUCCAACACCAUCGUGCUCAUGCUCAAGGUCAUCAGGAUGGAGAACAGUAAUGGAGAAUCUGGUGUUUUCCCACCUGGCUCCCUUGUGUAGAUUCUUGUUGAGAAGCAGAGCUGUCGGCCACCUCCUGCUUGAGUCCAGUGAAGGCCACUUUAGUGUUUGGCCCAAACCCGGUGUGGAAUGAAGUUGGGCACACAGACCAAAGAGCCAGCUCCAGUUUAUUCCAAACUACCAAAUCAUUUGUCCUUCAGAGUUUCCUGCAUUUUGGAUAUUGCUGGUUGUCUCCUCAUGGUGUAACAUGUUCCUAUAUGCCCUGGAUUUCCUGUAAACUAGUACAACUAAAUCAAGAAGCAUGAUCUGAUUCAGAACAAAAUACAUUUCUGUGUCAAGUUAUGAAGAUCAGCACACAAAGGAAGAAAUGUGAGCACAUUGUGAGAAUCCACGAAGAGAUCUGAUGAAGGCUUUGGUUGAGUGGAUCAGCUGUGUGUUGGAUGCAACCACAGGUCAGAGGAGACGGGGCAGUCUGCCUUCGGAUGGCAUGUACUUUGGUGUGCUGCCUGGAACUGGAACCAUUACUUUUGUUGAUAAGACACCAAGAGAUUUAACUGAGGAUGAGUUUGUGGUGCUUUUAAGGAUGGACCCACUUGAGAUCCAUAUCCUGUGACUAGUCCGAACAGAAAGUAUGCAUUUAGGAUCUUGUGGAUCUUCUGUGAAAGGACACUGCACUGUGUGAUAGCCACAGAGUUUGCCCUGGAGUCUGCAUUUCUGUGGCAAGCAAUAGGCUGGAGCGAGUCCACUAUGUAAGACAAAGAAAAAGAUUCCAAAAGACAUCUGUGAUGUUACACAGUUUGGUCCGGGUUAUUCUCUAUCAUCUAUUUUCUAUCAUCAAUUUCUUUUUUCUUUCUUUCUUUUUUUUUUUUUUUUUUAAGAUGGGGUCUCGCUCUGUCACCA